RNAcentral lists this ribosomal RNA (594 nucleotides) under Bacteroidetes bacterium oral taxon 281. RNAcentral describes it as "bacterial SSU rRNA". It matches the Rfam family "Bacterial small subunit ribosomal RNA", at positions 380 to 971 of the family's 1533-position model. Lineage: Bacteria; Pseudomonadati; Bacteroidota. The record is from RNAcentral.
AGCCUGAUCCAGCCAUGCCGCGUGAAGGAAUAAGGUCCUAUGGGUCGUAAACUUCUUUUGACGCAGAGCAAUAAGGAACACGUGUGUUCCGAUGAGAGUAUGCGUCGAAUAAGCAUCGGCUAACUCCGUGCCAGCAGCCGCGGUAAUACGGAGGAUGCGAGCGUUAUCCGGAUUUAUUGGGUUUAAAGGGUGCGUAGGCUGUUGGAUAAGUCAGCGGUGAAAUCACCACGCUUAACGUGUUGUGUGCCGUUGAAACUGUCCAGCUUGAAUGCGCUCGUCGUGAGAGGAAUGUGUGGUGUAGCGGUGAAAUGCAUAGAUAUCACACAGAACACCGAUUGCGAAGGCAUCUCACGAGAGCGUUAUUGACGCUGAUGCACGAAAGCGCGGGUAUCGAACAGGAUUAGAUACCCUGGUAGUCCGCGCUGUAAACGAUGAUGACUAACCGUUGGUCUGGUAUGGAUCAGUGGUCAAGCGAAAGCGUAAAGUCAUCCACCUGGGGGAGUACGGCCGCCAAGGCUGAAACUCAAAGGAAUUGACGGGGGCCCGCACAAGCGGAGGAACAUGUGGUUUAAUUCGAUGAUACGCGAAGAACCU